RNAcentral lists this ribosomal RNA (2185 nucleotides) under Triticum aestivum (bread wheat). Its description in RNAcentral is "partial small subunit ribosomal RNA". Lineage: Eukaryota; Viridiplantae; Streptophyta; Magnoliopsida; Poales; Poaceae. The record is from RNAcentral.
CUGCUACACACAUUUCUAGUGAACUACUUCUUUUGUCCUCGGAGACAACGGUACUGCAGAUGGAAUGAAGUGUACCACAUGGUCAAAUUCAUUGGACCGCAUGGUGAAGACUAGAGAACUCCAUUUUUACAGUUAGUGAAAGUAAACCCCGCGACAGAAACUAGUGAAGUAAAUCUAAAAGGAAAUUAACUUCUGUGUGAUGGUUUUUUAUUGUCGUUACAAAGGAAACCACAGGAGCGCACUGCACGCAUACACACACCGCAUUGCAAGCAUACACAUAAGUGAAACCACCAUGUGUGACAAUACAAAUUGUUUUCUCAAAAAACAUGACCGAUGGGAUGGACUACACUUUUUAAAUAGCAAGCAAACCACAAGCAUCGUUACAAAUAAACUGCAUUUUUUACAUAGCGAGCAAACCACAAAAAACUGGGAAUUUUGCACAAUAUCCUGCGCAAACAGAAGCGAACAGCCUGCGAUCACCGUCCUAUAGAGCAGAGCAGGUACAGGGGUGUUGAAAGUGGACCACACAUUUUUGGGGAAAAUGAACCGCGCACACAUGCUGGAUGAGCUGAAAAAGAUGCAAAGAUUUCAUCCAUAGACUAGCCUCGUCACACACUUCUUAUCCUUCCACCACUGUAUGUGCCUUUUCCCUUUUAUUUCUUCUUUGUGCGCACAAACAAGCUACAGCAGCAAUAUUCGACGGUAAAAUCAGAGGAGAAAAAAGCUAAACAGUAGAUACUUCAUGGGACAAUAGUAGUUGCUUCAAAAGUCUGCAGCGGUGAGGAAUCAAUUCAGAGAGGAAAAAACUAACACUUGGUCACAGGAUGGAGGCAAACCUACAGUCGGGAGCAGAAGCUAUGAUGUUUAGAGAUAGCAGCUAGGCGGAGCAAGCGGAGGCCACGAGCAAUGGAUCAAACGACCUCCUUGGGACACCGCCACCUGCUGCUAUGCUCCCGUAGCUACUGCUGAGAUGGAUUCAGUGUGUGCAGGCGGCCGAAUCGUUCAGAGCUGCAUGCCCGCUGGCUUUGAGCUGCAAGACACACACACCGCACGACGCCACCCACGAAAUCAAACUGCAUCGGGAGCCUCGACUGUCUUCAGGCCAGCUCACAGGAGGGAAGGGGAUGCAGGAGAUCUCGUCGGAGGCCGUCGGAGAUCUCACCUGAGGAACUCACUGCCCGUGGUCCGGUGGUCGGGGGACGGCCGAAUCCGUGGACGGAGAGCCACCGGAGUCGUCGGCCACCACGCAGCUGAGGGGGAGGGGCGAGUGGCCAGGGGUUGGGCGGCGCUGGCUGGGGGAGUUGGUAUCUAGGAGGACGGAGAUGGCUCACGGUAGCCCUGGUGGCGUGGGGAUCUGGCUCCCCCGCUGGCCGGCGGCGAAGCGAAGUGGUAGGAGGUAGUGGUAGGGGCCGUGAUUGGAGAAGGUGGAGGGGGCCCCGCGAGCAAGGGCGACAGCAGCACGAGGCAGUGGAGGUGGUGGGGCAGUGCCCGACGGCGGGGUUGGGGGAGGUGUGACCGGAGUAGGUGGUCGGGGUGACGAAUAGAAGGUGUGAUGAUGCCGACCAGGAGGUAGAGGAGUCGGGGCGGCGCCGGCUGUGAGGAGGAGGCGUCGGGGCGGCGCCGGCCGGGAGCAGGAGGAGGCGAGGAAGCCGGGAUUCGUUUCGGGUAGGACGUGCCGCGCGCAGAGAAGGUGGGGAGGGUGGGGCGACUGCUCGGGUGGUGCGCAUCUCGCCGGAGAAGGUGGGCUGCGCUGGGCCGGCUUGGAUCAGGGUAGGUGGCGUGCGGGAGGUGGGGUGGGGAUUGGUUGAUUUUGUUCGUUUCGGGUGUUAGCAGAAUAAGAGGAGUUGUUAGCACAAUAAGGUCUUAAGGGGUGUUAUUAGAAUAAACCCACCCUAUAUAUAUAAUUUAAAGUGGCAAAAUAUUGGAAAGUUUUCUGUGGUUAGUUUAUAGAUAAAAGCAAGCAAAUAUACCAUGUAAUGAACAUAUAUCUAAUACAAAUUAAAAUGCCACGGAAAAAAUCAUCUUUAAAAAGUUUGUCAUGGCAUGUCUAUGCAUAUAGUACAGAACUUAAGGUGCCGUGGAACAAAAGUAUUUUAAAAAAAUGCUUCGUAAAAAACAUGGCAAGUUUUUUUUUUGAAAAAUGGACACAUGGAAAAUUUAGGAGAUUUAUUCUUUAACAUACAUG